RNAcentral lists this long non-coding RNA (273 nucleotides) under Capsicum annuum. RNAcentral describes it as "long non-coding RNA (CANN_LNC014171)". Lineage: Eukaryota; Viridiplantae; Streptophyta; Magnoliopsida; Solanales; Solanaceae. The record is from RNAcentral.
UGCCCUGAUUGGAAGAGUGUCAAUACCGUACCACCGUUAAGGACAACAUGUGAGUAACCCUAAUAUAACAGAUAACUCUAGUGAGAAGGUAGGAACCCUCAUAUAGUAGGCUAAGCCACCUCAUCUACCCUCAUAUAGCAGGCUAUGAUUUCUCAACCUAUGUUGGCUAUAUAGUUCUGGAAUGCAAAGAUUGCUACUAAGAAUCACACCCUCAUAUAAUAGGUAAGUUCCCAUCCUUGGGUUCACUCGGUGCUAAUUUAUACUCUCAUCUGG